Molecule: unclassified non-coding RNA, 502 nt
Filed under: Hevea brasiliensis (rubber tree)
Lineage: Eukaryota; Viridiplantae; Streptophyta; Magnoliopsida; Malpighiales; Euphorbiaceae
Source: RNAcentral
UGGGCACGGCUUAUUCAUUUUGCUGGUGUAUCUCAUCUCCAAAUUGUCAAAUACUGGCAUUGCAUAUAUCUGAAACGAGCUGAGGCAAUUAGUGACGACAAGCAUACUUGUUAAUCCAAGUAUCACCUUGGAUGUGUCGUGUCCAUGGUAUUUGUAAAGAGCAUUUAACAUCCCUCCAUUUCCUGGUAUCAGGUUUCCAUAAGCCCAAUAGCCACCAAUUGCAAGGGGAAACAAACACAUUGCUAUAAUUAAAUAUGCGAACUUUACUCCUCUCCACAUAGGUAGACGGGAUGGUUGCUUCGCAUUUGAUGGCAUAGUACCCUGUAUUUCAAGCACAAGAUUGUGACCUCUGAAAGCAAAGGCGAUUAUCCCAAGUGCAUUGAGGAUGCUACAAAGACUUGCCAUAUCGAAUUUUUCCUGUGGAGGAUCAUAGGAGAUGUUCAUCGGCCUACCUUGAAUAAUGGACACUACCCAUAUAAGGGUACAGUAGCUAACAGCUGUU